Molecule: ribosomal RNA, 1014 nt
Filed under: Pseudoniphargus sp. 6-Morocco A
Lineage: Eukaryota; Metazoa; Arthropoda; Malacostraca; Amphipoda; Allocrangonyctidae
Description: 16S ribosomal RNA
Rfam family: Archaeal large subunit ribosomal RNA (bases 798-956)
Source: RNAcentral
AUUAUUUUUUUAUUUAUUUUUAGUAAGAAUGUGGAGGCAGUACCUUUUGUAUCAGGGUUGCUUAAUUAAAGAAGUAAUUUUAUGUUCUCGAUAUUAACUGAGUUAAAUAAUGUAUUAUCUGUUGAAUUAUUGUAUGGAUUUAUUUAGUAGUGAAAGGUUUACGUAGUUAAAGGUAGCUAGUUAUUGGAGUGUGUAAAGUAAAAGGGUUAAGCUUUUUAUUGAUUAAUAGAUUUUUAAUUUAUGUUUGAUAAGUUAGGCUUAAGAUUAGCUAUAUUAAUAAUUUGUUUUAAAGGUUUUAUGCGAAAGGGGUAUUAAUUAUUUUAUGCGAUAAUUUAGUUUGUUAAAAUAAUUUUGUCUAUAAUGAGUAAAUUAGUAUUUAUUUUUUUUUGUAAUGUAUAACUCGAAAUUUGUAGAACAGUUUAUCAAAAACAUUUUUUUAUUUUUAUAAGAUAAGGCCUGCCCAGUGUUUAUAUAAACGGCUGCGGUAUUUUGACUGUGCUAAGGUAGCAUAAUAAUUUGUUUUUUAAUUGGGAACUGGAAUGAAGGGUUUUAUCUGCAAGGGUUGUUAUUUAUAAAACAAAUAACUUGUAUUUGUGGUAAAAAUACCAUAAUUAUAUAAAGGGACGAUAAGACCCUAUAAGCUUUAUUUUAUUAAAUAAUUGGAGUAAGUAUUUAGUAUCUUUUUAUUUUUAUGGAUUUUACUGGGGCAGUAAUAUUAUUUAAUUUAAUAUUUAUUUAACAAAGAUAGAUGAGCAUAAGAUCUUUUUAUUAAGAUAGAUAGUAUAAGUUACUGUAGGGAUAACAGCGCAAUAGUUUUGGAGAGGCCUUAUUGAUAGAAUUGAUUGCGACCUCGAUGUUGAAUUAAGAUUUCUUUUUGUUGCAGAAGGCAAUAGAGAAGGUUUGUUCAACCUUUAAAUUUUUACAUGAUUUGAGUUCAAAUCGGUUUAAGCCAGAUUGGUUUCUAUCUUUUAUUUAUUAUAAUUUAUGUAAGUACGAAAGGGACACGUAAAGUUU